AUCGCUUCUCGGCCUUUUGGCUAAGAUCAAGUGUAGUAUCUGUUCAUAUCAGUUUAAUAUCUGAUACGUUCUCUAUUCGAGAACGACGUAUUAAACGAGUUUUUGGAGUUGAGGAGUUGGAAGUAUGGGGCUUGCUCCGUCCGCUCCACGCAUCGGCUUGGUAUUGCAGUGUUUCCAGGUUCGGUGCACAACCC
Molecule: small nuclear RNA, 194 nt
Organism: Physeter macrocephalus (sperm whale)
Lineage: Eukaryota; Metazoa; Chordata; Mammalia; Artiodactyla; Physeteridae
Gene: U2
Rfam family: U2 spliceosomal RNA
About the family: U2 is a small nuclear RNA (snRNA) component of the spliceosome (involved in pre-mRNA splicing). Complementary binding between U2 snRNA (in an area lying towards the 5' end but 3' to hairpin I) and the branchpoint sequence (BPS) of the intron results the bulging out of an unpaired adenosine, on the BPS, which initiates a nucleophilic attack at the intronic 5' splice site, thus starting the first of two transesterification reactions that mediate splicing.
Source: Ensembl